AAAAGAGGAAGUUGUUUUACUGCAAUGUCCUUACUGUGCAAAAAAUAGCCUGCUGGGAUAGCAAGUGGCCCUCAGCUCCCUCAGCAGGAACGCGUUAACCCCUGUGAGUCCUGGGACCUGCUCAGUCUAGAUACAUUGCAAUAUUUGUUCUCUGAUCGAGGAAUCUGAUAAAUGCAGCAAAACUCAGAAGGAGCAAAGCCUGCCUGUACAAGCAAAGCCCCUCUGCACUUUCUCUGCCCCUUGCACAGGCACUGCUACUGAACCACAGAGGAGGAAGAAAGCUGCCACGCAGAUUAGUCCUGUUUGCCCCUGCUGCUCACUGCUGUGUCCACCACGAGCGGAGAAGGCUCCAAAGCUGGGAUCCUGGAGCAGCUCGAUUACAGAAUUGACUGUUUCCCACUUGGAGGGGGCAUACAUUGUUGUGCUCCUCCAGAAGAAAACCGAGAACCAAGGGCUGCCGAUCUGCAUGCAGUACAUGAACCUGGGUCUGGAGCAAGGUGAUCGGUGCUGCUCAGGGAAGCAAUGGAGAUCCUUGUCCAUGAGCACACCGAGCUGCUCCAUGGACUCUUCCACUAAAAAAGAUACUGAAAGUGUGGGGUGAAUGGAGACAGUCUGCUAUUCCACUGCACACUUCCCUGUGCUUCUAAUUUAAGACUGCCAUUCAGACUGAAGUUUCCAGGUUGGCUCAUGAUGAAUCCGUAGUCUGUAUGCAGUGCCUGAGAGAGAUUUCCGUAUCCUGAAAUAACAGAAGGCUUGUGAUACAUCACUUCAUGACCCCACAGCUCUCUGCAACUUAUAGUGUGGAGGACUGAUGUCACCAAACUGUUGUACAACAGAACAGUCACUGUGCAACAAUCCUUCACUUAAAGCCCAGAGAACUGUACUGAUGAGGAAAGACAUGCAGCUUUCCAUGCCAGGUAAAAAUAAUGGGCAUAUGUAUUUCUGUAUUUGCACAAGGACGGCCUGCUUUCUUUGGUGCCUUCCAAAGAGUUGCUGGCAGUGCUCUUAACAGAAAAAAAAAAAGAGAGAGAGAGCAAGAGUGAAUACUGACCUCCAGGCGACCCAGCUUUGAAUGUCAGUGAUUUGCAGUUCCACAGCACAAUUUGCUUGCUCCUGAGUUAGUUUUAAUAUGAAGGAACCGGCAAAGACACAAUAAAAUAUUGUCCCAAGUUUGUAAACUGCAUCAGUCAAGUUCCCGUCUGUCAAAGUCAGAAGUAGGUGGGGGCCAGGCUUGUAUUUGCCCUGGUAGCUCAUGUUCAUAUAAGCUCAGAAGGCAGUGGAACAAGGGAAGGGUUGCAAGGGCUGCAGAGCAGACAUCAGUUAUGCUUGGCUGCAGAGAGGCACCUGGCUGGAGUCUGAUUUUACAACAAAGGCCCCACAUCUAACUGUUUUGGGGAUGUUUAAAGCUGUGUUUUCAAAGCACGCCAUUACAGUGAGCCCUCUGGGAAAAGCUGGCUGCAACUUUUAGUGCCCAAAAAUGCAGGCUAAGCUGUUCUGAAGAUCUAGCUCUGCUUGUGGCUGCUGAACUGUUGUGAAAGCCGAACCCUUUUUUCAUAUAAACACCCAACUGCCUGGUGUCAAGUCGGGCUUGCAAGAUAAGAUAAGCGUGCUUCAGUGAGGGAUAAAUGGAGGAGAGUUUAUGGAAACUGAGUUACGGCAAAGAGAUAGCAUCAAGAAUCAGGGGGUUUAUGUGGUGCUUUGCACAGUAAAGGUGGAUAGAGAGUGUAUGUGGUCUUCAGAGCUGUGGGAGGGUUGGGUUUCCCCACCCUGUCACUGUGGCAGCCACGAACUCAACGCAAGAGGUCCGAGCAGGGGACCUGGAAGCCCCAUGGCAGGGCCAGCGGGACCUCAGAGGCAAGUGGAGAGGAGGGCGAUGAGAGGAAUGGAGGGAAUGUGAUAAGGCCGGGGGAGGGCUCGUGGAGGGAAGGGGAAGGAGCAACCCAGGGAAAAGAGGGGGGGUGAGGGAGGUUUGGGUCCCUCAGCUGAGAUACCAGGGAACCGCUCUGUGGAGGUGUGUCCCAUUUCAGCAGUGUAUACCUGGCCAGAGUCCCUCCAGCCAUCCCCAAUGGCAGGCACAGAGGGCAGCGUGCUGCCAGCAGCCACUUGCCCUGGGCACCAGUGCCUUCAGAAAUAACAAGCCUCUGUUGCUGUUGUCCUUGUGUUUGUGGAUGGCUUGGCCCAAGCAAAGAUGAAAGCUGGUGGAGAUGCAUAAGUUGUGGAAGUUUCUGUGCAGGCAACACAGGUUUGUGUGAUUGUACCUUAGAGACUUUUUUUUUUUUUUAAGAGAGAGCUCUUGCUCUUUGAAAAGGUCUUCAGAGCCACUUGCUUUUUAUCUGUGUUGCUCUCACUGGCUGCUUUAACAGUUAGUAUCUGCAGUAAUGAGUUAGAGAUGCUGUCAUUGUGCUUCUGUUGGUGGUGGGUGUUUUAAGGGGAGGGCUGAUACCUCCUAAAAUGAUCGUGCCUGAGUCACGCAGGUGGAGCAGUGUAAUUCCCCAGCACAGGAAAGCUCGGGGCAUGGCGAGUGGUUGCGUUGCAGCAGGGGAGCGGGCUGAGCUGUGCUGAGCACUGCCGCGCUGCUGGAGCCACAGCCCUGUCAGAUCUGGUGUAACGUUUCUGGCUCCAGCACUAACCCAAGCGUCUGCACAUCCUUAUCAGCAAGCCUCGCAGGUAGCAUUACGUGUUUGUCCACUUGGAAUAGAAAUAUUCCUUAACUCUGAACCUCCCUGGCCUCUGUCUUCAUCUGCUAUCCUCUCUUGGUGGUCGGUGUACUCUAUUGACUGAUAUACCUCCUGGCCUUAACCUUUAUGGAUAUGUAAAUUCAUGCUUGCAAUAUCUCACAACCUUUAGAAUUGUAAAAAAAAUACUAUUAGAGAAAAUCCAUCAUGAUGCAAAUGUACAAGUGAGUCUGCAUCAUCUUAUCCCCACGCAGGCGAGCUCAUGACCAGGUGGUUUUGAAACAUGAAAAUAACCAAAGCCCUGUAUCCGAACAACUGGACUUUUACAGAGAUUUAAAUCAAACUGGAAUUUAGUAGCUCAGAAACACUUUGAGAAAGCUCUAGGAGAAACAGAGGCAAACUUUAAAGCUGUGAGUGGAGUAAGUCAGUGAAACAUACAACAGACAAAGCUAGGCAGGCUAGAGAUUGUAGUUAGCACCCGACUCUGCUUCACCUAGAGCUUAUAGAGGAUUCUUUGGCAUAGAUCCUAAAUUUUUGCAGCCAACUGAUCAGUUUUAAUUCUCAGUUUCUUGCAGGCCAUCAUACAUUUAGCUGAAAGUAUUAGAAGGAGGGUGCGCUGUAGAUUUCCUGGCCUCCCAGACCAGACUUCGUUGCUGGCACAGAAAAUACUGUGUGGAAAGAGCUGUGGUAAGGAAAGAUUUCACAAUGUCAGCAGUACCCAAAGGGAGGACAAGGUGGAGCUCUUGAUGAGUAAUGGGAUGUUUGGUACCAGCAGGUCUGAAUGUCUCAGACAAAAGUUGUGAUUUCAUCCUGGUAUUUGGGUGAAGAUCUGGUCUGCCAAGUGGGCUGCGGCCACCCCGGUUUCCCCUCACAAAAAAAGGUGUAACCUCCCCUCCCUUGCCAUCUGGGUGCCGGCAAGGGAAGGCAUUGCACCCCUGUUCUUGCUCCAUCCAACCAGCCAGCAAACAGGCCUCCUGAGCUUUGCAGGGUUGCUUCCCAGGCAGCGUUCCCAGGCGUUUUGAAGAGCCUGUGGCUCUUCAAAGCCCUCCUCCUUUUCCCCAAACCAGCUGUUGCUUUCCCAUCACCAUGCAUACUCGCAAUGUCUUGCUGUCUUCAGCAGAAACUCCUGCUCUUGCAGGAGGUGCCAACACUGCCACACCACUCCGGGAAAAGCAGCUGAACUCUGUGCUGCAGCUGGAUUUCAGUGAGGUAUUUUGAUCUCGGGGUAAUAAGAUGUGCCAGUGAAAAAGAUGUGUGUGAUCAGUGCGCUGUUGUUGUGAGCUGAAGCAGAAUAUGGCGAGGAGCCUGCAUUAAUUAGUAUUAAACCACAGUUGGCAGAUGCUGACUCCUUCAUAGAGUUGCUCGAGGGCACAAAAAUCGCGUUUGGGUGGAUGGGUGAGGUGCAGAGACAGCACCAGGAAGCAGGGCUUAUACCAAGACGGUGCAGAAACCCGCGUGGUGGGGUUGGGUAAAGAACCGCGUCAAAGCAAGAAGAGAUGCCCAUGAAUUACAUCUCCCUUUUCACUUGGACACUGAAGUCAGCCAGCAGCAGAGAGAAAUUGUUUGGCCUCUUCUGGCCAGGAAAAUGCAACUGUGAUUGCUGAUCACUGCCUGAGACAGCUCGGGGGGUGGGGGUGGAGAGAGGAGGAAUAUCCCAGUAUAUGAAAACGGGGAGCCUUUUUUCACCAGUAGAUCUCAAUGUGUUUUGCAGAGAAAGUCUCUAUGGUUAUUUCCAUUUUUAUUUAUUUAUUUAUUUAUUUAUUUGUUUGUUUGUUUUCAGGGGGAAUACAGAGUUCAGGUACCUGAGGCACAGGAAGGGGAGGGGAGUCAGGUGUAGGAAAUCUGCAUUAACUGUUCCUAACUCUUUAGGGACUCAUGAUAAUUAAAGAAAACAUAUGGAGAGCCUUUGGCUGCCAUGAAGUCUCCAUAAACUAAAACAGAGCUACCUGCAAUUCAUUGCCUCUAUUUUGUGAUUGUCCUUUGAGCAUAAGAUCCAGUCCUGUACAGGAAUAGGGAUUUUUUUUCCUGUUUCCCUUUUACCAGCAGUAAGUAAUGUUUCCAAUAAAGAAUGCAGGGUACCAGCAUAACUGGCAAUGGAAAUAACUCCCCUGGGCUCUCAGGUUGGUAUUUGGCUGCUAGCAAGUGCUGCCUCGCUCAGAGUCCUGUGGGCAUAUUCAGUCAUGUUCUCACAGACUUCAGGGGAAGAUGAAGUGUCACUUCAGCUUCUUUCCCGCAAAUGGUUGGUUUUCCCACCACCACCCGAACAAGAGCCUCCAGCACUGAACACAAUGGAUUGUUAAACCUAAAUUGAUGCCUUUAGUAUUACUGGAAUACAAGUAAAGAAAAUUUCAACACAGCAUUGAAAAUGUCACCUUCACUGUGGCAUUGUAGGCGAGCUGACACGAAUUCUUAUUUUGUUUGCUUGUGGAAGAAAACUGUCAUUUUCGUUACUAAAAUAUUUGCUCAUUGGAUGGAAAUGAUUACAAAUGGAACAAAACAAAAUGUUUUGAUUAAAUACAGGGCUGAUCUUGUUUUUUCCAGUAAAUGUUUGAUGUUUUCAGUUCUCUUCCCCCUCUCCCGGGGAUAACAUAACAGACAGUUAUAGAUCACCUUCCAUCCCACAAGAUCCCUGAUUGUGUAGGGAUUGCUUCCUUUGGCACUGAGAUGUUGCUGCCCAUGGGCCAAACAGCAUUUAACCAUGUAGCUGCCCAAGGUACUGCAGUGAAGGCUGUCUUCCACCGAGCAGGGGAGUUUUCAGGAGGCAGAUUCCAGUCCAUAAUCCGUGCCAAACCCGGGGGCUAACACUGAAGUGUCAGAUCUGGCUACCCCAUGGCUGAGGAAUGCAAACCAGCGGCUGUCCAAAUUCCAGGCACGGUGCUGGGAACAGCUGCAACAAAACCAAGUCCCACCAACUUUGAUCUUGGAUCUCCUGCACAGAAUUAAAGGGGUAACUGAGCCUGGGCCUGAGGCACAGGCGUUUGGGGAAGCAGCACUGGGAGUCUGCAGAGUUUUCAUGGGAGUUUCUGAGCAUAUGACGAUAAGGCAAAGAUAACUCUCCUUUAUUGUCAUGAUCCAUUUCUUUCACUGUGAGCGCUUCGAGGCCCAUGCAGGAUCACAGCGGGGACAUCGGCAGAUAUGUGGUACUCUCUGCAUCAUGCUUCUUUGUUUGGGUUGAAGGGGUGAUGCUUUGCCCUAGAUCAACUUUGUAAAUAGGGCUGGAGUGAGAAAAGAUUUGUCUGCGUAGAUCCAAACACUCUCCUUGCUCCUCCUGCUUUUCUCUGGGGUUUGAUGUGACGGGUUCACAUACCUGUCACUUCCCUGGGAUAUGAGCAGCUGCCAGAACCCCCUCUGGCUGCUGUCAGUCCAGCUCAAGACACUUUUGCAGGAGUGGCUCAAACAGAAGAGGGUGCUGUCUAUACCCAUACGGCAUUCAAACCCCACUGUAGUCAGAGUGAGGAAUCGUAUUUCCCCCACCCCUGCCCUCUGGGUAAGAAAAGACAAACAUAUCAUAAAGGUACCGUAAUAAGUCUGCUAGAGAUGUCUUUGCAGUCUCUUUCUCCUCCCCAAACUGGAAUGUGCCUAAGCUCCUUCUGGUCUGCUUCUUUCUUUUUUCUGGCAGCCCUUGGGGAAGGCACCUAAUACCUUUUAGCAAACAUUAUUUAUGGACUCAGAACACCAGAAACGUGUUUUUACAAAUAGUCUGUACAAUAUGUCCUAAGCCCUCCUGUCUGGCACCUAUUUAUGUAAGUCCACAAUGCUCAGAUUUCUUAGGCUUUUUGCUGCAAGCCAGAUUUAUUGAUCCUGCGCUGUUUCCACAUGAGCAGAGUACUGUAACGACUGAUGAUCUGCGCUUGUAUGACUUGCACAGUAGUGUCUCCAACUUCACAGCUUCUGGUGAUUCCUGCUUAGGUCCUAGUGCCAAUAUUUGGUACUUCAGGAAAAGAUAAAGGUCAGUGCUAGCCCCCAAGGACCAGUGUGACAUUGCACAGCACCCUAGGAUGCUACAGACUUGCCCCUCAGAGGGUGAGCUCACUUGGUCUGUAGUGCAUCAUCUCUUACCUAGCAUCACUCCAUUCUGUGAGGCCCAUAGUAGUAGUUAGAUGCAUCUAUAGGCCUUGUGGGAGCUUUGCUUAUGUAGCCAGCACGGAGGUUAAAGAGGGGGUUUAUACAAGAGAGCAGCUGUACAUACACUUUUUAUCAAAGCUACCUAUGAAAACUACCUUCUUUCCAAUGAAAACCACUGUCUUUGUUAGCAUUUCUGUCUUUUCAGGAUGAAGACCACAGCAUAAAAUCUUCUGAGAGAAGUUCCCAUGUUUGUCUUCAAGGAAGGCUCUAUCUUGUCGACUGGUGUUUUCUGAAUGCUGGCAGAGAUGAUGGGACUUGCUGACUUCAGACAAGAUGCCAAAGCAUGCAGAGAGGACUCCACUGUAAACAAUACCUUAAAAUUCAUUUUAAAAGGAGAAAGAGAUGAGGGGAGGAAAAACAAAAUACCCAGAGACGCUGACUUGCCCUCUACAGUCAUACUCCCUCACUGGUGAUUAAUCAUCUCCCCCUUUGAGCCCAACAGACCAGCUACAUUACAUUCCACAUUUUCUUUAUUGCUGGCAAGAAAUUCACUUUCUGGCAUGCCUUUUGUAGGAUUCAAAAUGCCUUUGUGCUGCGGUGAGUGUGAGGGAAGGGAGUUUCACUUCUCUGAAGAUAUGCUAAAAGCAUACAUUACGGGCUGAGCUCUCCACCCCACCCAGGUUGCAGGGAGACAUUUUUGGUUCCCAGACCCCUCAUCUCUGGCACCUGGUGGACUUAACAGGCUGGAGAGUGGCUCUGGGUACAUCGCUGCCUGCUGCGGGAGGUCAAUGUUGUCUUGCCAAGUGUAAGCCUCUUCUGACUCAUUGAAAAACUGGGUAGGGAGGAAUCUGAAGGAAUGGGAUUUCAAAUGAGAGAGUAACUUCCAUUUGCUGUCUGCGUGCUGUGAACCAAGUGAAUUUUGUGCCCUGUCUAUGGUACAAAGCUUAAGUAAAUUACAUUUAUACGUACAGUUGCAGGCAAAGCAUGUAUAAUGUAGAUUCCCCUGAAGACAGUCUGAGCUUGGUAAAGGUGUUGUCUGUGCCCUAGAAAAAGGUUCUCAAUGGCACUGAAAAGUCUCUUUCCACCAUGGCUGUGGUGUGUGGUUCAUGGGGUGGUGUAAAUGGGAUUCUGGUCCUCUUUACUGCAGGGUUAAACCAUGAUCUUGCUAAUAAUGCAGUAUUUCCUGGUGUUUGUUAUGACAAAUGAAUGGGUAGAGAACAUUUUCUUGCUGAUAAAGCUUGUAUGCUAGCCCACUUCUGAAGGAGUUACAAAAGAACAAGACUAAUCAUCUCAGGCAAACCAGCUGUCAUGCAAUGGGACUGAAUCAGUGAUCAAAAGCCACAAAAGAAGGAACUGGUGUGCUGCCCACAGGUGGAUGUUGCUUGGAAUACACUCGCAUGCUGUCCAUGCUGGUGUAUGCCUGCACGUGCAUGCCUCCUCUCUCUGUGCACUCAGCCUGUACCAAGCUCUCAACUUGCAUGUUUGGUACAUUUGGUCUACCGAUGUUUGUGUUUCCCCUUUGCCUGCCAGCAAACAUUUCACAAGAGUUUUUCUUUACCAUGACUUAGAGGUCAUUGUCUCAUGUGACAGCUCAAAAAUGUAAUCUUUCCUGGCCAGAGUUGACUCAGACCAUGAGGAAAAGCAGGGGGCUGGCGUGUUCGAAUGCAGGAGAGGGCUCUCUGGACCUGUACCUCUAUGGGUUGCAGUGCAGCAAUUGCAAAGCUGCACCCUGUGAUCAUUUUUCUAGAUCCCUUAGAAACAGCCUGCAAACUCCCCACAGAUCACAGGCUGUGCUCUCCCCCUCUGCCUCAACUGUGAUGUUUUCAUUUCUGGCAGCCAAAAGCAAUGAAGUGGUUUAGGGACCAACUAAAUUGGAUGCUUUCUGGGGUUUGGAGCCACCUCGCACUCCUGGGAUGACUGGAAAUAAAGCUAUAAGCUCUGAUCUUAGUAUGUGUUUGCAUCAAGUAAGAGCAGCCUGGAGUUUUGGAGCAGAAGGUUAUCGGGAUUUGUUUUGCUUCUCAUACCAUCGUGUACGAAGUUGGUGCCUAUCUGAAAGCAAAGCCACAAAUCAUUGCAGAGGUAGGCACUUAUGGGCAGAGAAACUAGGAGAGGAUUUUGUUACAGUUACCUGAAGUCGGGAAAUGCAUUGCUGGCAGAGCUUACACUUGAAAGAUUUGGACCAGGUGAUGAGCUGGAUAAAACUGUCAUUUCUUAACAGAUGUCAUAUUCUCAGUUAAAAGUGAAAGUGCUGUAACACCCAGAUUUAAUCAUAGUGAACACAAGCAAUCUUUUAAGCAAUGCACAAAUAAAAGGUCUGUAUUCAAGCACCAGGCUAAGAGCUGACUGUAAUGGUCAGAUGAACGUGGUGAUUUUUUUUUUUUCCAAUUUUGCAUCAGGUUUUUUUGAGGGAUGGUCCUGUUCUCCAAGAGAACUGCUUACCUGCUGAAUUACACUAUCAAUCCUUAUCCCUGACAACCUUAAUCCUGCUCUGGUUUGCCUGGGCUGCAUGCUGCAGCAGGAGCUAGAAAACUGAGAGAUGUAUGCAGAAAAGUCUUGGGAUGUUGAUGUACAGAAUGGUGGGUGGUGUUAUUUAGAUGUCUUUGUAAACAAACAAAUACACCUGAUUAAAGCUGGCUGUCCAUGGAGGUUUCUGCCUCUCUCUGCACACCCCACCCUUUUCUCUGCAGCUAUGGGGAUUUCAGGGUACUUGAAAGGCCGGGUUGGAAAUGGGUGUCUCAGAUGCUACUUUACAUAUGGUUCAGCUCCUACUGGUGGAGAUGGAGCAAAUCUGGAGGAAGGCUGUUUCACUGCAGCACGGUAUUUUUGUCAUUUGGUGAGGAGUUUCAGUCCAGCCAUCAGCAAACACCAUUCCCAGUACCCUGCAACCCUGGCUGCCAGCUCAGAGGAGAACUAGUUUAUUACUACUACAGAGGGGAUGGCGCACAAACACGCUCCUGCCUCACUGAUCAACACAUCUCACCUUCUAUGUUUCGGGCCCACAAGCUACAUAAUUGAACUUGAAGGCAAGAGCCCCUUCUCGGGGGCUGUGCAGCCAUCUAGCGUUGCUAUAUAUAUAGCACGCUGGUUAACGUCAGCCCCUAGGUCACUUCAGUGCUUUUCUCCUACACGUCUCCCAGCUGAAUGUUUAACUCUAAGGUAAAGGAAAUUUAGUUAAACUUGCUAAUCCAUUAAUCUUAGUGACCUCUGAUAUUUUUGACCACCUGAAAAUUGUGCUUGUGGAUGGAGAAGAGGCUGCUACUACAGUAUUUCUUCUAGCUGUAGCAGGUAUGGGUUGCUACUAUCAGGAAGAGCUGCUGCAUGUUAGCAGUGUUGAUUCUUGGGAAAAGGAAAGGAAAGCAAAGCAAAGCAAAGCAAAGGAAAGGAAUUUAAAUUUGAAGAUCAGCAAGCAAACCUAAGGAAUGCCACUGCUAUCUGCCAGUAUACAGGUUCCGCAGUGCUUUGGAGACUUUCUUAUGUGUUCAGGAGUAGGAAAGCUUUGUACAUAUAUUGUGAAUGAGUAGGACAAAUAUCCUGAAUCUAUAUUUCUCACUUUUCUCACCUAGAAAAAAACAGCUUAUUUCAAAGUCUCAGCUUCCUCUUCGGUCCUUCAGCAGGCAGGGCAAUUAGUGCAAGGCACUGCUUUUACAGUUAGGAAUAAAUUUAUAAGGAAACCUGUGUAGGCACGGAGCAUGAUGAAACAGCAUGCAUUCUUGUGUUGCAUACCAGAGCGACAAGCAAAUUUCAAAGGUGACAGUCCAGGGUUACUGUGUGUUAGCGGCAGCCACUUGGCUAAUCUGAGAACAGAACCGUCUUUGUUUACAAUCUCCGUUUUUCUAAUUCUUAUCUCCUCUCUUGCACUGUAAUUUCCCCCAGCACCCUCUGUGCCUCUAGGUUCAUCUUUCUCUGCACUUUGCCUUAUACUGUAUCAAUGUCCAAGUGUGUUACAAGGGACGUUCAUCUUCCAAAACAAAAGGUGAUGGACCUGCAACUUUCUACACCUCAGUAACAAGUCAAGGACUACUGAGAUAAAAGGCAUUUCUUCGGGAUAGAGGUUACAUGUUACAAGCUCUUUGCCUGGGCUUUAUGGAGAUCUUAAUGGAGAUCUAUGCCAUGCAGACACACCAUUUUAUGGAUCCUGAUGCACUUCUGGAAGGGCCUACCAGCUCUGCCCAUUUAACAUCUCACAGCAUUUGCCUAAGAUAGUUUUUGAAAGGCAUGCUUUACAAGGAGUCUUCCACUGCAUCAAGUUUUGUGGGCAUAAGAUAUCUGAAUGUCUCUCCCUGUGAAAGGGAUGGCAAUCAUGAUGCUGAGCAGUGCAAGGGGAGGGGGCCAACUUGAGCCAUAGCCCCACUACCUACCAGCACAUUCCCUUACCCCAAAAAGCUUACAGGCACAGUGUCAGGCAGAGCAGGAAACAUGAAACAAAAUUGUCUGUGUCAAAGUGAUUAGUUAAAGUGAUAAUUUAAUUAAAGUGAUUAAAGUGAUAAUCUGAUGUAAGGCAGCUCUCUCUUACAAUUGUUAAUGUUUUAAUGUUAUUACAUAGUUUUAUGAUAUAUCAUAGUUUUAGUGAUAUUACAAAGUAACGUAUGCAUACAGGAGUGAGAUGGAACAUUUGUAUUGUGUUAUGUAUUUUAUUGAGAGACUUAUUUUCUUUUGCUAAGGUAUGUAAAUUAAAUUGUGCAGAUCUUAUGUUUUUGUUGUUGUUGUUGUUGUUUGUUUAAGAAGCAGAGGUGUUAACAUUUACAUCCCAGCCAAAAUCUUCACAAUUUCAUUUUCCCAAGUGCUCCAGAAGCUCUAGUGGCACCUUCAUCCCUGCUUCCUGCCUGGAACUGGUGUUGGGAGUCACUUAAGCCACCACAGCUUAAGCUGCAUUUCUGCGGUUGUCUAGGUGAUUAUUCUGCUCUAAUGAUAUAGUUUAGUAAGUAUUUUGAAGUCUCACAAAAUGGAAGAUAUCUUAAAAAAUAAAAGUUUUGUUUAUUUAUUGUGAUGUCUUGAGAAUAGUGGAAAGUGAACUAGAAUCUUGAAAAAGGCUGCAUUCAAUUGCCACAAUGCCAAUAAAAUACUUUAUUAGGGGUUAAUAACAUUAUUCCCUGUUAACACUUCCUCACAUCAAUGUAGAACCAUCUUGUGCUAGCCUCCAAACUAUGUCUUGCAAAACAGAAUCACUUUUCCAUAAACCACAUUACAACAUCCAGAAUCAACAUCUAAGGCUUGGGAAUGAGAAGAAUGCCAUCCACCUCAGUUGUUACUGGAGUUGUUUGUUCUGCUGCUGCUUCUUUCUGCCCCUUUUCUCCCUUCCCAUGUCUCUUUUAGAGCCGGGAGCUCCGCUCCCCAUGCACAUGGAGUUUAAACUAGUGACCCCUUGGACAGUCAGGUGCGAGAAAUUGCUAGCACAGUGUUUUUUUUAUUAUUUAUUUAUUUUUUAAUGGAUCGGAGGUGAUAAGAUAAGCCCAGAGUUAUUUUGACAGCUGAUGUUUUUCGGGUCAAGCUGGAGUGUUUGUGUUCUCAACACCAGAAAUAUUUACUUGAACGCAAUCUACGCAGCGGGAAAGGUUUUCCAUCAGUGGUGGUGGCGGCGGUGCAGCUCUCGCUCGGUUUUAAGCGUUCCCCUGCCCUCUCCUGGCACAGACGAGAAGCGUUCAAGGAAAUGGUGGAGUCACCUUCCCUGGGGGUGUUCAAGGAAAGGUGGUGCUUGGGGACAUGGUGUAGCGGGUGCCAUUGGUGGUAGGGCGAUAGUUGGACCAGGUGAUCUUGCAGGGCUUUCCAACCAUAAUGAUUCUAUGAAACACACGUGUCCACAGGGACAGGAACCCACUGAAACGUCCAAGACCAACAUGCAAUGAAUGCAACGUGUUUCUACAAGCCCUCACAAAAGCAGGCGACCGCUCCCCCCACCCCCCCCCAAAA
Molecule: long non-coding RNA, 12647 nt
Organism: Cygnus olor (mute swan)
Lineage: Eukaryota; Metazoa; Chordata; Aves; Anseriformes; Anatidae
Exons: 3
Source: RefSeq, a predicted model, not a curated record